AUUGAACGCUGGCGGCAUGCUUACACAUGCAAGUCGAACGGUAACAGGCCGCAAGGUGCUGACGAGUGGCGAACGGGUGAGUAAUGCAUCGGAACGUGCCCAAUCGGGGGGGAUAACGCAGCGAAAGCUGAGCUAAUACCGCAUACGAUCUAUGGAUGAAAGCGGGGGCCCGUAAGGCCUCGCGCGAUUGGAGCGGCCGAUGGCAGAUUAGGUAGUUGGUGGGGUAAAGGCUCACCAAGCCAACGAUCUGUAGCUGGUCUGAGAGGACGACCAGCCACACUGGGACUGAGACACGGCCCAGACUCCUACGGGAGGCAGCAGUGGGGAAUUUUGGACAAUGGGCGCAAGCCUGAUCCAGCAAUGCCGCGUGCAGGAAGAAGGCCUUCGGGUUGUAAACUGCUUUUGUACGGAACGAAAAGGUUUGGGUCAAUACCCUGGGCCGAUGACGGUACCGUAAGAAUAAGCACCGGCUAACUACGUGCCAGCAGCCGCCGUAA
This 497-nucleotide ribosomal RNA is filed under the name uncultured bacterium. RNAcentral's name for it is "partial 16S ribosomal RNA". It matches the Rfam family "Bacterial small subunit ribosomal RNA", at positions 29 to 523 of the family's 1533-position model. The record is from RNAcentral.